AUACGUAGGGGGCGAGCGUUGUCCGGAAUGAUUGGGCGUAAAGGGCGCGUAGGCGGCGCGGUAAGUCUGGAGUGAAAGUCCUGCUUUCAAGGUGGGAAUUGCUUUGGAUACUGCCGCGCUUGAGUGCAGGAGAGGUUAUCGGAAUUCCCAGUGUAGCGGUGAAAUGCGUAGAGAUUGGGAGGAACACCAGUGGCGAAGGCGACUUACUGGGCCGUAACUGACGCUGAGGCGCGAAAGCGUGGGGAGCGAACAGGAUUAGAUACCCUGGUAGUCCACGCGGUAAACGAUGAUUACUAGGUGUGGGGGGACUGACCCCUUCCGUGCCGCAGUUAACACAAUAAGUAAUCCACCUGGGGAGUACGGCCGCAAGGUUGAAACUCAAAUGAAUCGACGGGG
RNAcentral lists this ribosomal RNA (396 nucleotides) under uncultured bacterium. RNAcentral describes it as "partial 16S ribosomal RNA". It matches the Rfam family "Bacterial small subunit ribosomal RNA", at positions 523 to 918 of the family's 1533-position model. The record is from RNAcentral.